CAAAACCGCAAAAACACCCCAAAGGAAACAAAAAACAAAGUAAAAAAAAAAUCAUUCUUAGGCUAAAAUUAAAAGUUGUCGUAUUUAUAAACGACAUUUACAGCGAUACACAGAACCGUAACGUUAUUAUAUUUCCUUUUCUUUAUCAAACUUUUUUUUUUUGUGACGUCAGAAAACCUGAGCAGGUAGCUCUGCACACCUGCCUCUUAUUAACAGCCUGUCUGUCGUUGCCUGCUUUUCAGUUUGGUAACUACUCGGAAAAGAAGGAAAAUGUAAGGAAAUUCAUAUUCAGAGCGAGUUUAAAAACCAAAACGUAGCCUAAUUAUUUUAUUUAAUAUGUAUUUUAAUGUUUUCAGGAACUCGUUAGAAUACUCCUUUAUAUUUUUUAUAUUAGUGCCUCAUUCGUUUGGAAGAUGCUACGACAUGCUAUUCUCACUUUGUUGGCUGGACACGGAAGACGCUUUAAAUGGGUAAAAAAAAAGAAAAAAGAAAAAAAGCUCCUCUCACCAGAAAUGUACCUGUAGUAAAACCAGCUGCUGAAAUACUCAUGACGCAAAAAAAGUAACUGUCGGCCAGCGCGCUCGUGCUCCCAUGCAGUAUUUUGUCACGAGCUUUUCUCCCCAACUAUAUUCCCUAAAUUAAAAUAUCACAAAAUAACGAGGAGCGGAAUUUCGGUAGCGAAUAAAA
Xiphophorus hellerii (green swordtail) is the source of this 687-nucleotide long non-coding RNA. RefSeq lists it as uncharacterized. The record is from RefSeq and is a predicted model, not a curated record. The transcript is spliced from 2 exons. Lineage: Eukaryota; Metazoa; Chordata; Actinopteri; Cyprinodontiformes; Poeciliidae.